AUUGAACGCUGGCGGCAGGCCUAACACAUGCAAGUCGAACGGUAACAGGAAGCAGCUUGCUGCUUUGCUGACGAGUGGCGGACGGGUGAGUAAUGUCUGGGAAACUGCCUGAUGGAGGGGGAUAACUACCGGAAACGGUAGCUAAUACCGCAUAACGUCGCAAGACCAAAGAGGGGGACCUUCGGGCCUCUUGCCAUCGGAUGCGCCCAGAUGGGAUUAGCUAGUAGGUGGGGUAACGGCUCACCUAGGCGACGAUCCCUAGCUCGUCUGAGAGGAUGACCUGCCACACUGGAACUGCGACACAGUCCAGAGUACUACGGGAGUCCGCAGUGGGGAAUAUUCCACAAUGGCGGCAAGCCUUAUGCAGCCAUGCAGCGUGUAUGAAGAGGGCCUUCGGGUUGUAAAGUACUUUCAGCGGAGAGGAAGGUGUUGAGGUUAAUAACCUCAGCAAUUGACGUUACCCGCAGAAGAAGCGCCGGCUAACUCCGUGCCAGCCGCCGCCGUAA
This 506-nucleotide ribosomal RNA is filed under the name uncultured bacterium. RNAcentral describes it as "partial 16S ribosomal RNA". It matches the Rfam family "Bacterial small subunit ribosomal RNA", at positions 30 to 523 of the family's 1533-position model. The record is from RNAcentral.